AUUAUUGCUUAUAUUUGUUGGUGUGGCUCUCUCAUGGAUAAGUGCCAAAAUACCUGCCGAGUGUUAUUUACCGCAUAGCAGAGGAAUAACGACGGCCAAAGCUUUUCUAAUGUACACCUAUAACAAACAAAUAUCUGAAUGCAUAUCUUUCAUUUACUCCGGAUCUGGAGGCAAUAAUAAUCGCUUCUGGUCGAAAAGCGACUGUGUGCACACCUGUGUGCCAAAUUAAAAGUUAAUAUUUAAGUUCUGCUGCAGCCCUAAACAUAAAACAUCAAUACAAUCCUUAAAUUUUCUUUAAUGCUUUUUAAAAUAUUUAAAUUUUUAAAAUAAAUAUAAAAUAAGUUAUCAAUUUUAAAACUUAA
Long non-coding RNA from Drosophila elegans, 362 nucleotides. RefSeq lists it as uncharacterized. NCBI's taxonomy places the organism in Eukaryota, Metazoa, Arthropoda, Insecta, Diptera, Drosophilidae. The record is from RefSeq and is a predicted model, not a curated record. The transcript is spliced from 2 exons.